This 1034-nucleotide ribosomal RNA is filed under the name Lactobacillus sp. 938B6_12ASB. RNAcentral's name for it is "bacterial SSU rRNA". It matches the Rfam family "Bacterial small subunit ribosomal RNA", at positions 70 to 1069 of the family's 1533-position model. The record is from RNAcentral. Lineage: Bacteria; Bacillati; Bacillota; Bacilli; Lactobacillales; Lactobacillaceae.
CUCUGGUAUUGAUUGGUGCUUGCAUCAUGAUUUACAUUUGAGUGAGUGGCGAACUGGUGAGUAACACGUGGGAAACCUGCCCAGAAGCGGGGGAUAACACCUGGAAACAGAUGCUAAUACCGCAUAACAACUUGGACCGCAUGGUCCGAGCUUGAAAGAUGGCUUCGGCUAUCACUUUUGGAUGGUCCCGCGGCGUAUUAGCUAGAUGGUGGGGUAACGGCUCACCAUGGCAAUGAUACGUAGCCGACCUGAGAGGGUAAUCGGCCACAUUGGGACUGAGACACGGCCCAAACUCCUACGGGAGGCAGCAGUAGGGAAUCUUCCACAAUGGACGAAAGUCUGAUGGAGCAACGCCGCGUGAGUGAAGAAGGGUUUCGGCUCGUAAAACUCUGUUGUUAAAGAAGAACAUAUCUGAGAGUAACUGUUCAGGUAUUGACGGUAUUUAACCAGAAAGCCACGGCUAACUACGUGCCAGCAGCCGCGGUAAUACGUAGGUGGCAAGCGUUGUCCGGAUUUAUUGGGCGUAAAGCGAGCGCAGGCGGUUUUUUAAGUCUGAUGUGAAAGCCUUCGGCUCAACCGAAGAAGUGCAUCGGAAACUGGGAAACUUGAGUGCAGAAGAGGACAGUGGAACUCCAUGUGUAGCGGUGAAAUGCGUAGAUAUAUGGAAGAACACCAGUGGCGAAGGCGGCUGUCUGGUCUGUAACUGACGCUGAGGCUCGAAAGUAUGGGUAGCAAACAGGAUUAGAUACCCUGGUAGUCCAUACCGUAAACGAUGAAUGCUAAGUGUUGGAGGGUUUCCGCCCUUCAGUGCUGCAGCUAACGCAUUAAGCAUUCCGCCUGGGGAGUACGGCCGCAAGGCUGAAACUCAAAGGAAUUGACGGGGGCCCGCACAAGCGGUGGAGCAUGUGGUUUAAUUCGAAGCUACGCGAAGAACCUUACCAGGUCUUGACAUACUAUGCAAAUCUAAGAGAUUAGACGUUCCCUUCGGGGACAUGGAUACAGGUGGUGCAUGGUUGUCGUCAGCUCGUGUCGUG